UGCUAGCCAGGCUCCGCGAUGUGCUCAGCGUACUCCGUUCAACGUAGCGGCAAUGGGGAAGAUGUCGGUGCCACAGACGGAAGAGUGCCACAGAAAGGUCACUGCACACAUAGUCAAAAGACUGCAUCCCUUUUCAGAGGUGGAAUCUCCAACAUUUAGGGAUAUGAUGAAAACUCUCAACCCAAAAUGCAUACCACCUCCCAGGGACUACCUGUCAAACACAUUGAUCCCGGCAUGGUACAAGAAGAAUCGGAAUCGAGAAUCGUCAGGAAUCGGAAUCGAAACAAAGAAUCGGAAUCGUUCGAAUUCAAACGAUACCCAACCCUAAUCGUAACCCAUGUAUUUAGAUUCAUAUCGGCAUUCAAGGCAGAGAUGCACACCCCUAGUAAACAUGGUAGGCUAUGGGCUACAAGGAGCUAGCAGCUACACAACAGCUAAGCACACAAUAGCAUGCAAGCUAGGCACAUAUAAUAAGUGUUCCUAAUUGAACAAUAUUGCAUUUGAAAACACUACAUUUGUCAAUAUAAUCACGUAUCAAAUCAUUUUAGUCGCAUAUUACAAAUACAAAGUCUUCAAGGCAGAAUAUCCAGUAACAAACUUGUCCGCAUCAUUCAACAUACUGCAUCAUUAGCUUAACUUAACUAUUAAAGCCACUUGGUGACACAGAAAAAAAAAUUACCACUCCACUGCAAUUUAAAGACAACGUCCUGUAAGUCUGUCAUGAGGUCAGAGUUUUUCAUACCAACAAUUGUUCUCUGAGUAAUUUCACUUGAUCAAGCUUUUUUAUUAACUUCAAACUACACACUAAUAAUUAACUUUUUUUUAAGAAUGUAAUAUGAUUCGUGCUGAUAUGAUAUUGGAUUAAUAUUGGUAUCGGCCAAUACUCAAGGCUCCAAUAUUGGUAGUUGUAUCAGGACAGCACUACUUUAUUAUGAGUUUGAAGUACCACAUGCUUAAAAAUAUAUCAAGCUGAAUUCAAAAGCCCGAGGCUACAUAAGAGGCACUGAACAGGUGUAUUUCAUCAGGUAAAAUAGUCUAUGAUUAGUCAACUAUUCAAAUAGUUGUUAGUUGCAUGCCAUCUGACUGACUUACCUGAGUGCAAUUUCUUGUGGUUUGAACGACGAGAGGCGGGGCAGGCUGUUCUUCUCAUGGUCAUGGACGAGGUUCUCCGGGAUCUCCUCCACACUGGUGAAGGUUCCUGCCGACAACAAGGACACAAAAACUUCUAACAGUUGAGAACAAGAUGUUGUGCUUGUCACAAACAAAGAUGCGGUCCAGGACGAACUUGCUGAUUGGGACGUGAGUUGUAUUCCUGAGUUUACUGUUCUUACAAACAGUUGAGAGCAGUUGGAUUCGCUUCGCAAAAACGUCUUCUCAGUCAGCCGUCAUAGGGGAAGCUGAGGACUGACUCCACACACAAUAAAUAAAUAAUU
Entelurus aequoreus (snake pipefish) is the source of this 1433-nucleotide long non-coding RNA. RefSeq lists it as uncharacterized. The transcript has 3 exons. The record is from RefSeq and is a predicted model, not a curated record. Lineage: Eukaryota; Metazoa; Chordata; Actinopteri; Syngnathiformes; Syngnathidae.